This 132-nucleotide small RNA is filed under the name Escherichia coli. Its description in RNAcentral is "RtT sRNA". It matches the Rfam family "RtT RNA". From Rfam's summary of the family: This family represents a bacterial cis-regulatory element known as RtT RNA. The exact function of RtT is unknown although it is thought that it may be involved in changing the cellular response in relation to amino acid starvation. The record is from RNAcentral. Lineage: Bacteria; Pseudomonadati; Pseudomonadota; Gammaproteobacteria; Enterobacterales; Enterobacteriaceae.
AUUCUGCCCAAGCGGGGAAGGAUGAGAAGCUUCGACCAAGGUUCGACUUGAGCGCCAGCGAGAGAGCGUUGCCGCAGGCAACGACCCGAAGGGCGAAGCUCGCAGCGCUGAGUAAUCCUUCCCCCACCACCA